RNAcentral lists this ribosomal RNA (496 nucleotides) under uncultured bacterium. Its description in RNAcentral is "partial 16S ribosomal RNA". It matches the Rfam family "Bacterial small subunit ribosomal RNA", at positions 28 to 506 of the family's 1533-position model. The record is from RNAcentral.
GAUGAACGCUGGCGGCGUGCCUAAUACAUGCCAGUCGAGCGAACGGACGAGAAGCUUGCUUCUCUGAUGUUAGCGGCGGACGGGUGAGUAACACGUGGAUAACCUACCUAUAAGACUGGGAUAACUUCGGGAAACCGGAGCUAAUACCGGAUAAUAUUUUGAGCCGCAUGGUUCAAAAGUGAAAGACGGUCUUGCUGUCACUUAUAGAUGGAUCCGCGCUGCAUUAGCUAGUUGGUAAGGUAACGGCUUACCAAGGCAACGAUGCAUAGCCGACCUGAGAGGGUGAUCGGCCACACUGGAACUGAGACACGGUCCAGACUCCUACGGGAGGCAGCAGUAGGGAAUCUUCCGCAAUGGGCGAAAGCCUGACGGAGCAACGCCGCGUGAGUGAUGAAGGUCUUCGGAUCGUAAAACUCUGUUAUUAGGGAAGAACAUAUGUGUAAGUAACUGUGCACAUCUUGACGGUACCUAAUCAGAAAGCCACGGCUAACUACGU